AGGGGCAGCAUGGUCUUAGCUUGCUAAGGCCGAUGGCGACCGGCGCACGGGUGAGUAACACGUAUCCAACCUGCCGUCUACUCUUGGACAGCCUUCUGAAAGGAAGAUUAAUACAAGAUGGCAUCAUGAGUCCACAUGUUCACAUGAUUAAAGGUAUUCCGGUAGACGAUGGGGAUGCGUUCCAUUAGAUAGUAGGCGGGGUAACGGCCCACCUAGUCUUCGAUGGAUAGGGGUUCUGAGAGGAAGGUCCCCCACAUUGGAACUGAGACACGGUCCAAACUCCUACGGGAGGCAGCAGUGAGGAAUAUUGGUCAAUGGGCGAGAGCCUGAACCAGCCAAGUAGCGUGAAGGAUGACUGCCCUAUGGGUUGUAAACUUCUUUUAUAAAGGAAUAAAGUCGGGUAUGCAUACCCGUUUGCAUGUACUUUAUGAAUAAGGAUCGGCUAACUCCGUGCCAGCAGCCGCGGUAAUACGGAGGAUCCGAGCGUUAUCCGGAUUUAUUGGGUUUAAAGGGAGCGUAGAUGGAUGUUUAAGUCAGUUGUGAAAGUUUGCGGCUCAACCGUAAAAUUGCAGUUGAUACUGGAUAUCUUGAGUGCAGUUGAGGCAGGCGGAAUUCGUGGUGUAGCGGUGAAAUGCUUAGAUAUCACGAAGAACUCCGAUUGCGAAGGCAGCCUGCUAAGCUGCAACUGACAUUG
This 694-nucleotide ribosomal RNA is filed under the name uncultured Bacteroidales bacterium. RNAcentral's name for it is "bacterial SSU rRNA". It matches the Rfam family "Bacterial small subunit ribosomal RNA", at positions 65 to 748 of the family's 1533-position model. Lineage: Bacteria; Pseudomonadati; Bacteroidota; Bacteroidia; Bacteroidales. The record is from RNAcentral.